Long non-coding RNA from Globicephala melas (long-finned pilot whale), 349 nucleotides. RefSeq lists it as uncharacterized. The record is from RefSeq and is a predicted model, not a curated record. NCBI's taxonomy places the organism in Eukaryota, Metazoa, Chordata, Mammalia, Artiodactyla, Delphinidae.
UGAGAGAAGCAGCAUAGCCCAGUGGUUAAGUGUGCAAGCUCGGAAGUGACGCAGCUGGGUUCCAAUCCUAAAUUCUGCCUCUUGCCAGCUCUGCAUAAACUGGUGGCAAACUACUUCACUUCUGCAAGCCUCCUGCGCCAUGCCUACAGAUACAGGGCUCCGUGGACACUGAGCACCCGGAGUCCCGGACAUAGAGAACAUUUGGGUGUUGCAGCUUUGCUGGUCAACCUAUGAGGACACUGAGAUUAAGAGAGGUGGAAUGCCCUGAUCACAUAGUAAGUUGCAGAGCCUGGAUUUGAAGGAACUCAGAUGUCGCUACCCAGGGCCCUCAUACGCUCUAUAAAUAGAG